This is a long non-coding RNA of Sinocyclocheilus grahami, 865 nucleotides long. RefSeq lists it as uncharacterized. Lineage: Eukaryota; Metazoa; Chordata; Actinopteri; Cypriniformes; Cyprinidae. The transcript has 3 exons. The record is from RefSeq and is a predicted model, not a curated record.
UACUGACAUUCUGGAAAUUAAUUGUGAAAAUGAUGUCACAGUGGCAAAAAAAAAAAAUAGUAUCAUUUUGCUUUUGAAUUUGGGAUGAACUAUGGUCUAGAUAUGUCACUAGAUAUGUAGAAAUAGUACAAAUUACAUGAGGGGUUCACCAUUGCAGCCAUGUUGGACAUGAUUUGUACCACUACGUGGCAGCAAAGAUCACCCUAUUCUCUACAACUAUUUAUUAAAAAAAGAAAAAGGUAAUCACACUGAAUUAUUGGUUUGAUUAAAUACGCAGAGAAAGACUUCAUUGAAAAAGAAAAAUGAAGCACCAGUGUUAUGCUUAAAGGCAUUCUGGAAAACCAAAACGGAAUUCACAUUGUGGCAUCAGAUUCCUUUUACCUUCUGACAAAUCGAUGAAUAUUUUAAGGCAUUAUCAUAGAUGCUUUUUAUACAAGAAGGACGAGAGCUGACCCUGUUUUCUGAGGUUCUGGAGGUUUGUGGUCUGUAAUGCUGCAGUUCCUCUGCGAGUGAGUGGUGGCAGCAUUUCAUCUACUGUGCUAGUGUAUUCAAUCCUGCUCCAACACACCUGGCUGCAAUUUCCAAGUCAAGCUGAAGGCUUUAAUCAUCUGGUUUAGGUGAUUUUGUUUAGAGCUGCAACUAAACUUUGCAGGACAGGAUUGAGCAGACCUGGGCUACAGUCAUAUUUCAGCUACAGUGGCUGCUCUGGAGUCCGUUUCCGCAGGACGUGGCCUCAUCACUACAGCCGGUUCUUUGGGUGAACAUAACAUCUCAUCCAACUUGUCUAGAAGCUGGCUGACUGACCUUUGACCCUCUCUCCUCGGUUGAGUGUGAUCUCACCCUCGCCCUGUGGAUUGUGGGAGCU